This 468-nucleotide ribosomal RNA is filed under the name uncultured bacterium. RNAcentral describes it as "partial 16S ribosomal RNA". It matches the Rfam family "Bacterial small subunit ribosomal RNA", at positions 28 to 507 of the family's 1533-position model. The record is from RNAcentral.
GACGAGCGCUGGCGGCGUGCUUAACACAUGCAAGUCGAACGGAAAGGCCCUGCUUUUGUGGGGUGCUCGAGUGGCGAACGGGUGAGUAACACGUGAGUAACCUGCCCUUGACUUUGGGAUAACUUCAGGAAACUGGGGCUAAUACCGGAUAGGAGCUCCUGCUGCAUGGUGGGGGUUGGAAAGUUUCGGCGGCUGGGGAUGGACUCGCGGCUUAUCAGCUUGUUGGUGGGGUAGUGGCUUACCAAGGCUUUGACGGGUAGCCGGCCUGAGAGGGUGACCGGCCACAUUGGGACUGAGAUACGGCCCAGACUCCUACGGGAGGCAGCAGUGGGGAAUAUUGCACAAUGGGCGGAAGCCUGAUGCAGCAACGCCGCGUGCGGGAUGACGGCCUUCGGGUUGUAAACCGCUUUCGCCUGUGACGAAGCGUGAGUGACGGUAAUGGGUAAAGAAGCACCGGCUAACUACGUG